AACGAACGCUGGCGGCAUGCCUAACACAUGCAAGUCGAACGAUGCCUUCGGGCAUAGUGGCGCACGGGUGCGUAACGCGUGGGAAUCUGCCUUUCGGUUCGGAAUAACUCAGGGAAACUUGAGCUAAUACCGGAUAACGUCGCAAGACCAAAGAUUUAUCACCGAAAGAUGAGCCCGCGUAGGAUUAGCUAGUUGGUGAGGUAAAGGCUCACCAAGGCGACGAUCCUUAGCUGGUCUGAGAGGAUGAUCAGCCACACUGGGACUGAGACACGGCCCAGACUCCUACGGGAGGCAGCAGUGGGGAAUAUUGGACAAUGGGCGAAAGCCUGAUCCAGCAAUGCCGCGUGAGUGAUGAAGGCCUUAGGGUUGUAAAGCUCUUUUACCCGGGAAGAUAGUGACGGUACCGGGAGAAUAAGCCCCGGCUAACUCCGUG
RNAcentral lists this ribosomal RNA (433 nucleotides) under uncultured bacterium. RNAcentral describes it as "partial 16S ribosomal RNA". It matches the Rfam family "Bacterial small subunit ribosomal RNA", at positions 29 to 507 of the family's 1533-position model. The record is from RNAcentral.